RNAcentral lists this ribosomal RNA (253 nucleotides) under uncultured prokaryote. RNAcentral's name for it is "partial 16S ribosomal RNA". It matches the Rfam family "Bacterial small subunit ribosomal RNA", at positions 524 to 776 of the family's 1533-position model. The record is from RNAcentral.
UACGAAGGGUGCAAACGUUGCUCGGAAUUAUUGGGCGUAAAGCGCACGUAGGCGGCUUUUCAAGUCGGAUGUGAAAUCCCUCGGCUUAACCAAGGAAGUGCAUCCGAAACUGGAGAGCUUGAGUACUUAAGAGGAUCGCGGAAUUCCCGGUGUAGAGGUGAAAUUCGUAGAUAUCGGGAGGAACACCGGUGGCGAAGGCGGCGACCUGGGACAAUACUGACGCUGAGGUGCGAAAGCGUGGGGAGCAAACAGG